GCGCGCGGGUGCUCCAAGGAGUCGGAGGAACGCGGCCGCGCGACGGGCCCCGGACGCCGAGGGUGGUGCUUCCUCCGAGCCUCCGGUGGUGAGGCCGCUCUCAGAAGGUCAUGGAAGCGCAGGGGAGAGCGAGGCGGCCGAGCCCAGGCAAAUCCUCGAGAAAGGCCGAGUGCGCGACGGCUCUGCGGGGAGGACCGCGCCUCCCCGAAUGCGGCCGCUGCUGCCGCUGCAAACAGUGCCUUGAGGAGAGGAAAGCGGGGAACCGUGUUUUCGCCGCCUCUGUAACCACUGCACACAAGAAAACCAGCUUCUGGGAGAGGGGGAUGAUUGUUGGGACUUUGCGAAUUACCUAAACAGCCCAGGGCCGAGGCGCCGCCGCUCGCGUCCUGGUCCUCCUGCCGGGUGUGGGGCUCCCCUGCCCGAGAUGGCCAGCGGGCGCGCCGAGAGUAUCCUGGAGCCAUCUAGUCUUGCCUCGGAGGCGGGGUGGGCUUAUUUGUGCGGAGAAGAAACGGAUCUCUUAAUGGGGUGAGAUUUUUCCUCCGUACAUUGUUCCCAUUUCCGCAGUUUCACUUGGCCUCGGUUUUCUAGCAGAGUAAUCACCAAAUGAAAUUAGCUGGAGAGCGUUUGAUGGCGCAGAAUCACGGUCUGAAGAUGUUUACGCUGUAUGCCGGACGCGUUUGAUGGUGUUCUCUUCGGCACAAUUAAUUUUGCAAAGUUCAGAAAUGUGCCAGACAGAGCCCCUGGCACGCAGUCAGGACUCUACAGACACACCUUGAGUAGGAAACAGGCUUGUUUGUUUCAUCUGUGAUUUAUGUGAUGCACCAGCACCAAGGCCAACGUGUUUUUUAAAGACCUUUCGAUGAAACUCCAAAGCAAUUUAUAAAUUGGCAAAAUGAAGCUUGUUUUGUAAAAUAACUCUUCCUUGUUGAUCAUGUAAUUAAAUGGGCAACAAAACACCUGAAAGGACAUUUACUGAAAAGUAGACUCCCAAAACAAAAAUAUGUAUUUCACAGCUAGAUACGGUCGCUAUUAGCGUCCUAAUGGCCAACUCCAUCCAUGUGCGUAUUUUGAACACUAAAAACGCCUCCUGUUACCCCUAAGACCUUGUUUGGAUAACAUUUUUCUAUUAUAAGUACUCGAAACCAACCCCAUUUAAGAUGUUUACCCUUAUUCUUGAGUCCUUGAUGGUUUGGGAAAUUUAUCAUUAUUCAUAUUGCACAAUCCUGUCACUGUCUUUUCCAUUAGGCACAGUGCCUAAGGUCCACAAUAUUUUUAGAGGCCCACAAAAAAUAUUUUAAUUUCUUUUCAAAUCAGAAGGAAAAAAAAUUUAGGUUUAAGAAAGUAUUUUAAUAUAUAUUAAUAUAUUUGUUUUUGUGCUAAUACAAUCUUAAAAUGUAUGUAUAUAUGUGUGUGUGUAUAUGUAUAUAUAUUUUAAUGGAGUAAGGGGCUCAACGAAGGCAAAAAGGCCUAGAGCCCAAGAAAAACAUGAUGUGGCCCUGUUGCCUGGGGUUGAAAAAUCCCAUUCCAUGAGAAGAAUUUAGUUUUAAGAAUAUUACAUAAAAUGCUCAUUUCUGUGGCCUUGCUAUAAUAGAAAGAUGGAGAUUCAGAGUAGUGAUAAUGGCUAACAUCCACCUGAUACACACCAUGUGUCCAUUACCUCUUAAUCCUCACAGCACACCUGUGAAAUAGGUACUAUUCUCACACUUAGGGGGUAAUGCAGGUUUUGUGGGGCCUGCAAUUUAUGCAAUUUGGGUGGUCCUCUUAAAGAAAAAGCAAAUACUGUGUAUUAGUCCGUUCUCACACUGCUAUAAAGAACUGCGCGAGACUGGGUAAUUUAUAAAGGAAAGAGGUUUAAUUGACUCACAGUUCCACAUGGCUGGGGAGACCUCAGGAAACUUAACAAUCGUGGUGGAAGGAGAAGCAAGUACCUUCUUCACAAGGAAGCGGAAAGAAUUGUGAGCGGAGGAACUUGCCAAACACAAAACCGUCAGAUCGCGUGAGAAUUCAGUUACUAUCACGAGAACAACACGGGAAAACUGUCCCCAUAAUCAAGUCAUUUCUCUCCCUAACAAGUGAGGAUUACAAUUCAAGAUGAGGUUUGGGUAGGAACACAAAGCCUGACCCUAUCCCACAGCAUGUCCAGGCUGCCCUAGCACCACCCAAUAGAAGGGAAAAUGGCAGAGGGAAAGUCCUAGUGGAAAGAGACCUCAGUCUCAGCUAAUUGUGGUGACAAUAUAUUGCUUUUGCAAAUUGUACAUAAACAUAUGACCAGGUGAAUGUAUCGCCAAGGCUCCUGCCAAGGCCUGGGAUGGAGGCCUAGAGAAGAUGCCCGAAAGUUUAUGCUGUGUGAGCUUCACAGAAGACCUGCCUUCCAUGUAUACCCAUUUUACAGGUGUCUGUGCGGUGCAGAAACUGUACAACUGUAUACAGUGACCAUUUCUACUCUGGGUCUCUAAACAAGGGCUGGUAUCGUUACAGAGACUGAAGACUGAGGAAGACCAUCUCUGUAGGAUGCCAAGGAUUGACUGGAGAAAGUCUGGGUAAGUACAGGUCACAGGAAACCACACAAGAAAUACACUUUUGUAGGACAAAGAGGUAAGGUCAGAGCCCUGAGAGACCCUCACAACUGGUAUUAAAGCAGAGUGAAAAGAAAUCUAAAGGGGGGACAGGUCUAAGGGGACAUGGGACACAAAGCCAGGAAGGAAGGAAGCAAACCCCAGCAGUGCUGUACCUGGAGGGCGAUGAAUGAGUCGCAGAGGCUCCCUUUCUGAGCUGGGAUUAGGAGUUGAUAAUGGUCUUGCAAGUGCAGUUCUGCAGAGCGAAAGGGCCCGGUGCCUUGCAGCAGAGACACGUUCUGGGAGAGAG
RNAcentral lists this long non-coding RNA (2865 nucleotides) under Homo sapiens (human). RNAcentral's name for it is "PREDICTED lncRNA (TCONS_00210926)". The record is from RNAcentral. Lineage: Eukaryota; Metazoa; Chordata; Mammalia; Primates; Hominidae.